GACGAACGCUGGCGGCGUGCUUAACACAUGCAAGUCGAACGAUGAAACCUAGCUUGCUAGGUCGAUUAGUGGCGAACGGGUGAGUAACACGUGACUAACCUGCCCCUUUCUCUGGGAUAACGCUCCGAAAGGAGUGCUAAUACCGGAUACUCACACCGAGGCACAUGCCUUGGUGUGGAAAGUUUUUCGGAAAGGGAUGGAGUCGCGGCCUAUCAGCUUGUUGGUGAGGUAACGGCUCACCAAGGCGACGACGGGUAGCCGGCCUGAGAGGGCGACCGGCCACACUGGGACUGAGACACGGCACAGACUCCUACGGGAGGCAGCAGUGGGGAAUAUUGCACAAUGGGCGCAAGCCUGAUGCAGCGACGCCGCGUGAGGGAUGAAGGUCUUCGGAUUGUAAACCUCUCUCAGUAGGGACGAAGCGAAAGUGACGGUACCUAAAGAAGAAGCACCGGCUAACUACGUGCCAGCAGCCGCCGUAA
This 482-nucleotide ribosomal RNA is filed under the name uncultured bacterium. RNAcentral describes it as "partial 16S ribosomal RNA". It matches the Rfam family "Bacterial small subunit ribosomal RNA", at positions 28 to 523 of the family's 1533-position model. The record is from RNAcentral.